This 331-nucleotide ribosomal RNA is filed under the name uncultured eukaryote. RNAcentral's name for it is "partial 18S ribosomal RNA". It matches the Rfam family "Eukaryotic small subunit ribosomal RNA", at positions 1470 to 1796 of the family's 1831-position model. The record is from RNAcentral.
CCCUUAGAUGUCCUGGGCUGCACGCGUGCUACAAUGAUACGUGCAACGAGUUAAUCCUGCUCUGAAAGGAGUGGGUAAUCUUAUGAAUGCGUAUCGUGCUUGGGAUUGACCAUUGUAAUUAUUGGUCAUGAACGAGGAAUUCCUAGUAAGCACAAGUCAUCAGCUUGUGCUGAUUACGUCCCUGCCCUUUGUACACACCGCCCGUCGCUACUACCGAUUGAAUGGUUUAGUGAGAUCUUCGGAUUGGCGCCACUGCGGCUCAGCAAUGGGCUCGGUGGAUGCCGAAAAGUUGAUCAAACUUGAUCAUUUAGAGGAAGUAAAAGUCGUAACA